Anguilla anguilla (European eel) is the source of this 1327-nucleotide long non-coding RNA. RefSeq lists it as uncharacterized. Lineage: Eukaryota; Metazoa; Chordata; Actinopteri; Anguilliformes; Anguillidae. The transcript has 2 exons. The record is from RefSeq and is a predicted model, not a curated record.
CACUUGAAAUAAUCUACACGCAAAUUAUAAAUAAAUACAAAAAUUCCCUGAAAACACUUCAGUGGUAGCUACCAUCUACCCCCGUCUACAUUAGGUUGGUUUGUGAUCUUGCUCCGUUUGGCAGUUCGUGGAACUGAGACGCAGAAGGCGGGAAUCACGCAGGGCUAGUGCACCAGAUGACCCACAUGCUGCAUGGGUCUGCUGCCUGGGCUCCUGCAGGUAGAGAAGGAAAGAGACAAAAUCAUUUUGCAGCUGAUUCACACCAUCACCAAAAAAACGGAAUGGACAGUCAGCAGGUUCACACUGUCACCUCCUCCUGCAUCCACAGCACAGGAAGCAGAGCAGGGCUGGUUGGCAAAUGUCACAUUCUUGUGGCCCAUUUGGUGGGUUGCCAAGGGACCUGACCAUUUUGGGUAAGACAGCAUGUAAUUUGUAAUUUGUAUUUUGCUAGCCUGCUGAAAUAGAAUUAAAAUAUGCAAUGUAAAAGAAUUAGACAAAUCUUGAAAAAUAUAUUUAUUUAAUGAAUUAAUUGAUCAUUUAAAAAAAGAAUACCUAAUUAAAUCUAUGUUUUAUUGUUACUGUGUGAACGCAAAUUAGGAAUUACUUUUCUUAGCAGAUAUACAAAUAAAUAGUCAUUGGGUAAUACUCCAAUUAAUAUUUUAAGGAACAAACAAACGACUGUGACACACAUUAUUUAUUAAAUUGACAGGUAUCCAAAGUAAAAAAAAAAGAAAAAAAGAAUUACAUUCAAUUUUUUAAAAAUUUACCAAUGUAAAAUUUUUAAGUAGUAAUAGGAAUAAUGUCCCAUUAGUAACACAAACUGUUUAGAAGUAGUAAUUUGAACGUCAUAUCAUGUAAAAUGUAUUAUCUUUUCAUAAGUUUGACGUGUAUGCUUAGUCUGCACACCAUAAUUAUGUAAAUAUUAUUAAAAUCAUCAGCACAUCAUUGUUUAAAAUGAGGUGUGCACCAUACAAUAGUUUUAAUGUAGUACUUAUUGUAAGACCUGAGGUAAUCACAGUUGAAAUGGUAAUGAGCUGUGUGGGUGUUGGAUGUUCAUAGAUGGCCAGGAGGGUGGAUGACAGACUGUAUAUUUUGCUAGAAAGAUUGUAUGGUUCAAUACUCUGCAGUUCACAUGUGGUCCCUGAUUCCAUUCUGUGUUUGCACUGAUUUAUAGUAGGGACAAUCAAAGGCAUGGCCCUUCCCGUUUAAAAUUUCACCCUAAAAAAUUAGGGUGAAAUAUUACAUUUUGAAUAUUUUCAAGUCUGCAAGUAUUUCAGCUAAAUGUUUUUUGUAUGCAAAUCAUAAAUGAAAAUACAUUUCAUUCAUU